RNAcentral lists this ribosomal RNA (447 nucleotides) under uncultured bacterium. RNAcentral describes it as "bacterial SSU rRNA". It matches the Rfam family "Bacterial small subunit ribosomal RNA", at positions 355 to 825 of the family's 1533-position model. The record is from RNAcentral.
UCGGGAAUUUUGGGCAAUGGGGGAAACCCUGACCCAGCAACGCCGCGUGAAGGAUGAAGUAUUUCGGUAUGUAAACUUCGAAAGAAUAGGAAGAAUAAAUGACGGUACUAUUUAUAAGGUCCGGCUAACUACGUGCCAGCAGCCGCGGUAAUACGUAGGGACCAAGCGUUGUUCGGAUUUACUGGGCGUAAAGGGCGCGUAGGCGGCAUGACAAGUCACUUGUGAAAUCUCUGGGCUUAACCCAGAACGGCCAAGUGAUACUGUCGCGCUAGAGUGCAGAAGGGGCAAUCGGAAUUCUUGGUGUAGCGGUGAAAUGCGCAGAUAUCAGGAGGAACACCUGAGGUGAAGACGGGUUGCUGGGCUGACACUGACGCUGAGGCGCGAAAGCCAGGGGAGCAAACGGGAUUAGAUACCCAGGUAGUCCCUGAGCGGGCUGGCAAGGCGCAU